GCCAGUGUGGUUUAGUGGCUUGAGUGUUGGACUAUGACUCGGGAGACCUGGGUUCGAAUCCCAGCUGGGCCA
This is a non-coding RNA of Phrynosoma platyrhinos (Desert horned lizard), 72 nucleotides long. The record is from the annotation of a GenBank genome assembly. NCBI's taxonomy places the organism in Eukaryota, Metazoa, Chordata, Lepidosauria, Squamata, Phrynosomatidae.